UUAGAAUCUGAUUUUGACGAUUACAUUAAACAAAAAUUAAUUACAGAGAACAUUUCUCUUUGACACCGUCUGAUGUGACAGAAACUCCAAAAGCUGCAUCUUUCAGUUUGGUAGCCGUAAAGAGCCGAAAUUUAUACGAGAAAACUUGCUUAGAAUUCAUAUAGGGAGAAGAAUGUUUCGCACUAUUCUGAGUCAGUAUUGUUGGCUUACUUACAAGCAUUGAAUAUCGAAAAAAAAGAAAGUACUUGAAAAAGAACAUAAAGAUUAUAGCGAAUGUUCCGGAUAAAAUAUUGACGAAGCAAUGUUGGUUUUUUGGAGUAGCGGUUGCAUUGAGGAAAGAUGAAUUGUAUAGAUUGCAGAAAAAUGAUGUCCAAGAUAUGGGAUCAAAAUUUUUGGUGUCAGUGAAUUCAACCAAAACACAACCUCAAACAGGAUAGGUAUUCACUGUGGUGGAUAAUGGUCAUGCACUGCAGAAAAGUUAGAAAGCAUUACCUCAUUUGUGACUUUCAAACCUGACAAAUAUUUAACAUUAGAAAUGUUUUUCACCUAAAGAAGUAAAGAAACCACUUACCUCAAUGAAGAUUCUGCAGAUGAAACAGGUAUUGCAUUCUUGAGA
Molecule: long non-coding RNA, 616 nt
Organism: Harmonia axyridis
Lineage: Eukaryota; Metazoa; Arthropoda; Insecta; Coleoptera; Coccinellidae
Exons: 3
Source: RefSeq, a predicted model, not a curated record